CAGCGUUUUUAGAACUAAACGCCGCUAAAGAUCAUGACUUUUAACAGCGCUUUUCCCUCAAAUGACGCUAUAAAUCAUGACUUUUAGCGGCGCUUUUUCCACAAACGCCGCUAUAGAUCAUGACUUUUAGCAGUGCCUUUCCCACAAACGCCGCUAUAGAUCAUGACUUUUAGCGACGCUUUUUCCACAAACGCCGCUAUAGAUCAUGAUCAUGACUUUUAGCGGUGCCUUUCCCACAAACGCCGCUAUAGAUCAUGACUUUUAGCGGCGCUUUUUUUAUAAAAGCCACUAAAGAACAUGACCUUUAGUGACGUGUUUUAAAAAAAUGCCACUAAUUUUGGCAGAUUUGUAAAAUAAAAUUUUCCAUAUUUUCAGCCCUCCUGUAGCUUAGAAACCAACCAAAAGAAACAAAUCUAAAUAAUAUUUCAAAUUAAACGAAUAAUAUAUAAUAUAAAUAUCAAUAAAUGAAAUAUAAAUCAUAUUAUUCUCAGAAUAAUGUUAAAAGUUAAAAUGAUAAAAAUAUUUUAUACGAUAGUCUAGGAUGGCGGAUGUUGCGACUGCUGAAACAUCUUCAUCAUAUUCUGAAGCUGUUGUUGGAGUUCGUUGUACUUUCUCCUCUGCUCUGCUUCCCUUGCUGCUGCAUUACCUUUAAGUUAUGUAAGUUAUAUAUUAAGUAAAUUAUGUAAGUUGUCUUAUAUAAGUUAUGUAUUAUGUAAGUUAUGUAUAUAUCAUAGUAUUAUGUAUUUUAUGUAAGUUAUGUCUUAUGUAGGUUAUGUAAGUUAUGUAUUAUGUAAGUUAUAUAAAUAUUUGUCUUUGUGUAUUAUGUAACUUAUAUAAUUUAUGUAGGUUAUGUAUUAUUAUGUAAGUUUUGUUGGUUAUGUAAGUUGUAAUAUGAUUAAUAUUUAUGUAUGUAAGUUAUGAUAUGAUUGAUAAGUUUCAGUUAUAUAAGUUAUGUAUUAUGUAAGUUUAUGUAUGUAGGUUAUGUAAGUUAUGUAAUGUAUCAAUUUUUAAAAAUAUAUAUAAAUUUUAAAAAUAUAUACAUUAAAACUAUAUAUAAAUAUUAAUAAGUUAUGUAAAUUAUGUAUUAAAAAUUUAAAUUAUGUAAAUUAUGUAAUAUUAGAGUAUAUCACUUUAUGUAUCUUAUUUAUAAUUAUUUAUAAAAUUUAAAAAUUUAUUAGUAAUAAAUUUGAAAUAUAAGUUAUUUAAGUAAUGUAAGUUAUAAAUUUUAAAAUAUUUAUAUUGAAAAUAUAUAUAUUAAUAAGUUAAAUUAAAUUUUAAAAAUAUAUUUAAAAUAUAUAUUAAAUUUUAAAAAUAUAUAUACUAAUUUUUUUAAAAUAUAUAUAUUAAAUUUUAAAAUAUAUAUUAAAUCUUAAAUAUAUAUUAAUAAGUUAUGUAAUUAUGUAUUAAAAAUUGAUAAUUCAUUGACAUUCAAUCAAUUAAUUGAUCAAUUUAUUGUAUGUAAAAGAUAAUUAAACAUUAACAUUCAAUCAAUUAAUCACAUCUAACGUCGAUAAUUAAUUAAAUUAGAAGUAAAAUUGAUAAUUCAUUGACAUAAAAUCGAAAAUCGAAAAAUUAUUCACAUUAAACCGAAUAAACUAAUCGCCUAUAAUUUAUUCAAUUACUCAAAUAUAUAAAGUGAUUUAAGAAUUAUAAUCCGAAGUUUAAUAAUUUGUGUAAUUGUUUUUGCUUGGGUAAAUAAUACGUGGAGAAAUAUAAAAUCAUAAUUUAAACCUCGCAAUUAUGUAAUAAGCUGCAAAGUUACAUGCAAAUUGAGCUAGAAACAUAUAAAGCAAAAUUGAUAAUUAAAACUGAUACCCAUAGGUUUAAAACCAAAAAUCUUAAUUAAAACUCCCUUUUAAAACUAAAAAAUAAUAAGUAAACUAUGAAGCUAAAAUAUAACCAAAUCCGAAAUUUAAAUAUUUGGAGGUGCUUUUUUAAGAAUACUAUCUAGGGAAGCAUAUGAAUAAAUACCUCAAAUUUCCUCGAUUUCAAAGCAAACUUCUGCAAAAAAAAAAAAACACAAGUAAAUUAGUACCAAAAAAACAGAAGUAAACAGAAGAUUAUUUAACUAAAUUAAGAUUCAAAUCUAAAUUUGAAUUUUAAUUAUCACAACAUUCAACUUAAAUUAAAUCAAAAUCUUAAAUUUGAUUCAUUUGACACUAAGCCUAAAUUUAGGAUCUAAGCAACCAUUCUUUUACAAAUUUUGAACAGUUGACAGUAGCCAAGCCGGAUGUCUACAGCCUGUCUCCAGUCACAAUUUGGGCAAAGCAGCAUUGAGUCUCAUAGCCCACAAGAUAUAAUUACUAACAUAUAAUAUAAUGUAAAAAAGAACUAUUAUUAAAUACUGAAUUUUGCUCUCGCAAAACAAACUAGAAAACAGAACAGCAAUUUGCCUAGUAUGUUUGGUAUGCAAGUGUAUAUUUGUUCAAUUCCUACAUUACAUUGACAUACAAUGCUUUCUGAAACCAACAUCAUUAUGUAGCUUAAUAUGUAGCCAAAUGGAGGUUAAGACAUAUAUAAAUCUUCAUUGAAUAUAUAUAUCUUCAUUGAAUAACAUGUUAUUAGUAAAUAGAGUAAUAUCCUAGUAGGCAAAAAAUUGAUAUUUUGCUUGACUACAUCUAACUGUAAUGACCUUAGGGACCUUCGAUUGAGUUACUAAUAGUCGAGUGUUUUUUUUUUUGAAUAAUAAAAUGAACUGUGGAUAUACUUAGGAGGAUCACAGAAUUUAUAGGUUGAUAUUUAAGAAAGAAAAAGAAGUAUAACCAAAAAGACAUUGAUCAAAGACUACAAAUGGAAUGAAACUAUGAUUGAAUGGCAAGUGAAAUUUGUUCUAUACCAUUUCGAUCUUUCAAGUUAUAAAGUAAUUCUUGCAAAGUAAAACCACAAGACACUUAAAUUUCAAAACCCAAUAACAUGGGAUCCUUGCAACUAAUUUAAACAAAACAUGAUGGCAAGUCACCAUGCCAUGAAACCCAAAAACAUCAUUAUGAAAAAAGAACCCAUGAUAUCCAAUUAAAUUCACUACAAUUCAAUAUCGUAACAAGCUCUUCACCAUAAAACAGGAGAACAAGGGACAAAACAGAAAAGUCAAUCACAAUAGCAUCCUUAAACCUCAUAAUUGAUAAAUCAACUGUUUCCCUGUCUCACUAUGAAAACAAAAACUCCAAGCUUGUUACAUGCAUGGUCCACAAACAAAUGAAAUCAAUUGUCUAAAUAUGGAAACAAUUUUCUAAAUGCCAUUAAAGGCAAAAUGGAAUCAUUCCAUUGAAAUGAAAGCAAAUGCAAUAAUGAAAUUAGAGAAAAGGUAAUUUACCUUUCCACAAACACCUUUACAACACCCUACACUUUGAGAAGUUACAGUUCCUACACUUUGACUCCUACACUUUGACUCCUAUCCAGAAAACAGAAUAGCAAUAACAUUGGUAUUGAAGUAAAGUUCUUCAUAUUACCUAAAACAGAAUAGCAAAGUUCUUCAUAUUACUUAAAACAAAGGACGAAUUCACUAGAUUUCGGGGUUAAUAACGUUGAAAUAAACAAAGAAUUCACACAAGAUACACAUAUAUCCCAAAACCUAGACACGCAAAAAUAAUAAUCAUCUAAAACUGGUCCAUUUCUGGUGAUUGAAGUUGGUAUCUAAACCCUAAAUUCCCAAAUUUGGUAUCUAAACCCCAAAUUCCCAAAUUUCACUAAAAAAACCCUAAAUGUAGAUAGACUGUUUCAAUAGAAAAAAAGGCUUACCUGGGCAACCAAUUUCGCAACUUUGAUAGUAUUGUCUCAAGAUUGACUCAACCUUUGCUUCAUUUCACAAGAUUUCUGAGUUCUCCUCUCCUUUUUUUUUCUUUGUAUUUUUCUUCGUUUCUAAUUUCUGAUUUCCUCCUUUGCUUCUGUUUCCUUCUUUGCCUUCUAGGAUUCUAUAGGGAAACGGAUAAGUUAAAAAUCAUGUGGAG
RNAcentral lists this long non-coding RNA (3947 nucleotides) under Gossypium barbadense (sea-island cotton). Its description in RNAcentral is "long non-coding RNA (GBAR_LNC020085)". The record is from RNAcentral. Lineage: Eukaryota; Viridiplantae; Streptophyta; Magnoliopsida; Malvales; Malvaceae.